GGGCGCUUGGUCUAGGGGUAUGAUUUUCGCUUCGCAUCUACUUGAUGAGCCUGUGAAAGGUCGUGGGUUCAAUUCCCACAGCGUCCA
Epicoccum nigrum is the source of this 87-nucleotide non-coding RNA. The record is from the annotation of a GenBank genome assembly. NCBI's taxonomy places the organism in Eukaryota, Fungi, Ascomycota, Dothideomycetes, Pleosporales, Didymellaceae.